Molecule: long non-coding RNA, 2552 nt
Filed under: Homo sapiens (human)
Lineage: Eukaryota; Metazoa; Chordata; Mammalia; Primates; Hominidae
Description: HSALNT0372489
Source: RNAcentral
GAGUGAUCUGCCAGCCUCGGCCUCCCGAGGUGCCGGGAUUGCAGACGGAGUCUCUCAAUGGUGCCCAGGCUGGAGUGCAGUGGCGUGAUCUCGGCUCGCUACAACAUCCACCUCCCAGCAGCCUGCCUUGGCCUCCCAAAGUGCCGAGAUUGCAGCCUCUGCCCGGCCGCCACCCCGUCUGGGAAGUGAGGAGCGUCUCUGCCUGGCCGCCCAUCAUCUGGGAUGUGAGGAGCCCCUCUGCCUGGCUGCCCAGUCUGGAAAGUGAGGAGCGUCUCUGCCCAGCCGCCAUCCCAUCUAGGAAGUGAGGAGCGCCUCUUCCCGGCCGCCAUCACAUCUAGGAAGUGCGGAGCCUCUCUGCCCGGCCACCCAUCGUCUGAGAUGUGGGGAGCGCCUCUGCCCUGUCGCCCCGUCCGGGAUGUGAGGAGCGUCUCUCCCUGGCCGCCCCGUCUGAGAAGUGAGGAGCCCCUCCGCCCAGCAGCCACCCUGUCUGGGAAGUGAGGAGGGUCUCCGCCCGGCAGCCACCCCGUCCGGGAGGGAGAUGGGGGGGUCAGCCCCCCGCCCGGCCAGCCGCCCUGUCCGGGAGGUGGGGGGGUCAGUCCCCCGCCCGGCCAGCCGCCCCGUCCGGGAGGGAGGUGGGGGGGUCAGCCCCCCGCCUGGCUAGCCGCCCCAUCCCGGAGGUGAGGGGCGCCUCUGCCUGGCCGCCCCUACUGGGAAGUGAGGAGCCCCUCUGCCCGGCCAGCCGCCCCGUCCGGGAGGGAGGUGGGGGGGGUCAGCCCCCCGCCCGGCCAGCCGCCCCGUCCGGGAAGGAGGUUGGGGGGUCAGCCCCCCGCCCGGCCGGGAAGGAGGUUGGGGGGUCAGCCCCCCGCCCGGCCAGCCACCCCGUCCGGGAGGUGAGGGGCGCCUCUGCCCGGCCGCUCCUACUGGGAAGUGAGGAGCCCCUCUGCCCGGCCACCACCCCGUCUGGGAGGUGUACCCAACAGCUCAUUGAGAACGGGCCAUGAUGACAAUGGCGGUUUUGUGGACUAGAAAGGUGGGAAAGGUGGGGAAAAGAUUGAGAAAUCGGAUGGUUGCCGUGUCUGUGUAGAAAGAGGUAGACGUGGGAGACUUUUCAUUUUGUUCUGUACUAAGAAAAAUUCUUCUGCCUUGGGAUCCUGUUGAUCUGUGACCUUACCCCCAACCCUGUGCUCUCUGAAACAUGUGCUGUGUCCACUCAGGGUUAAAUGGAUUAAGGGCGGUGCAAGAUGUGCUUUGUUAAACAGACGCUUGAAGGCAGCAUGCUCGUUAAGAGUCAUCACCACUCCCUAAUCUCAAGUACCCAGGGACACAAACACUGCGGAAGGCCGUGGGGUCCUCUGCCUAGGAAAACCAGAGACCUUUGUUCACUUGUUUAUCUGCUGACCUUCCCUCCACUAUUGUCCUGUGACCCUGCCAAAUCCCCCUCUGCGAGAAACACCCAAGAAUGAUCAAUAAAAAAAAAUAAUAAUAAUAAUAAAAAGAAAGAAAGAAUUAAACAAGAAAAAAAAAAGACCACAAAAAAAAAAAAAAAAAAAGAAAUGUAAUCCCCAAUGCAGGAGAUGGGGCCUGGUGGGAGGUGUCUGUGUCAUGGGACCAAUGACAGAAGAUCCCUCCUGAAUCGCUUGGUGCCCUCCUUGUAGUAAUGAGUGAGUUCUCACUCUGAGUUCAGAGGAGGUCUGGUUGUUCAAAAGAGUGUGGCACCUGCCCUCUGCCCAUGCUCCCAGCCCCAGGGAUUUCUUUUGAGGGGCACAAAAAUCGACUAAAACAGCAACCACAGCCAUUGGUCUUUUAUGUCAUCAUUCUUACAUCUCUUCUCUCCUAGCUUCCUCUCCUAUUUCACUUGCUGUUCCUGGCCUCUUCUUCUAGCUUGACUCUCCUGAUCCCCUUUCUUUUCUGUUCCUUCCCUUCUUUCCACUCUUGUCACUGCCUAAGAUGGUGAUGCUCACAGCUAAGGAGUUUGCUCACCCUGGCCAUAAGACGAAGGGUUAGGAUUGGCUAGUCACUGUUUUUAACUAAACAGGGGUAGACACUUGGCCAUUGGAACCUAGAAUUCUGUCUGUCAUUGGCCUUGGGCUCCGUUUGCUCUGCAUCCCGCAUGUGAACACUGACCGGGGCCUGUUUCCCUCCUACUGCUCCAUCUCCAAGAGCAGCAUGACAGUCACACAUUGCUCAAGCUAGAAAUGUGACAGUAUCUCAGUCUGUCCUCUCCCUUCCAUGUCAUAUCUAAGCAGCCAGGGAGUCCUGUCUAUCCCAAGGCACGCCUCCUGUCCCUUUCCUCUCCACCACACCGCCCCUGCUCAUGCCCACUCUUCUGACUGAACUCAUUACAUUCCCUCCUACCUCGUUUCCCAGGCUCUAAACUCACCUUCUGGGAACCUCUGAUCCCUGCUUACAUCCAUGGCUCCUUCUGCCUCUAAGAUAAGAUGCAUGUACCUUGGCCUGGCCUGCAGGGUCCUCCAGAGCAGGCCCACUUAACCUUGCCAUCUUCAUCUGGCCCUGCGCCUCACACCCUACGUUCUGGCCAUAUUGGACCCUAG